Molecule: long non-coding RNA, 1077 nt
Organism: Solanum pennellii
Lineage: Eukaryota; Viridiplantae; Streptophyta; Magnoliopsida; Solanales; Solanaceae
Exons: 2
Source: RefSeq, a predicted model, not a curated record
UUGAUUAAAAAACUAAGGCCCGCUACCUUUUCCCAAUUUUCUCCAAACCCGAGAAACAUAAACAUCAAAAUUCUCUCUUUUUAUCCCAAAAAUAUAUUAGGUUUUGUUAAAAGGAAUGGAGUUUCUGCCAAAAUUCUUUCAAUUUGUCGAUUUGGAGCCGAUACAAUCUCAAUCGGCGAUGAAGGCCCUAGUAAGCAAGCAUCUUAAUUACAUCUAUGGAGAUUAAGGGUUGGAGACUACCUAAAACCUAGAGACGUGAUUCAGUGCGUUGGAUAUGGCUUUUUCUUAUGAUCAGCAGACUAUCCUGAAAAGGGAAAAUGUAUUUUCGAGUUAUGAUAAGAGAGAAGCUCACAUGACACUCUUUAUUUGGGAUAUGUAUAAAAUAUUAAGACAUGGUUAAUACUCAUUAUAUGUGAGAACAUUUAGUUUCAUAUUUAACCAAAAAAGAGGAGAAAAAGAAUUGUAGUCAAUACGUAAAGAGAUGAUCAACAUUGAGCUACGACAACAUUAUAUCAAUGAUACUGCAGAAAGGAAUCAGAGAACUACGUGGCUGUUGAGUUAUACUAAACAACCAAGUUCUUAUAAUUAACUCAUCAACUUAGUUAUUGAAACUUUUUAUCCUCAUAAGAACUACCAUUUUUUCUUCAAACUUAAAGCUAUGCAGAGCUUGGCAUCUUCUCAUUCUUCUAGGAUUAUUCUCAAUCCUUAGUUGGUGAAUGAAAUAUAAAGAAAAUAUUUUCUAGCAUGACUACCAUCAAGUUUUCUCGUACCAAUUUCUGUGGUUCUCGGGUGUAACAAAUAAAGACAAGGUGCCAGUUCUUUAAUUUUGUGUGGCCAACUGACCACUAAUCUCAAGUCGUUAGACAGAGACACUUUUAUAUACUCUUAGUUACAUUUAAGUAGAUUAUCUUUUGUUCUCGUGUGCGAACUUGAUCUUUUCAUAUGUAAAAUACUUUCUUGAUAAUAGUUGGUAGUGACAUUUAAAAUAUAGGACCUCUUCUUUGUUAUCAUGUAAAAUUGUGCCCUAUAUUUUUUACGGUUCAAACUUAUAAAUGAGAUUGGUUAAACAAUUUAGCA